GGGCGUGUGGCUCAGUUGGUAGAGCGUUCGCUUAGCAUAUUCCAAUAUGCGAAAGGUCCUGGGUUCGAUUCCUAGCUCGUCCA
Molecule: transfer RNA, 83 nt
Filed under: Schizothecium vesticola
Lineage: Eukaryota; Fungi; Ascomycota; Sordariomycetes; Sordariales; Schizotheciaceae
Rfam family: tRNA
About the family: Transfer RNA (tRNA) molecules are approximately 80 nucleotides in length. Their secondary structure includes four short double-helical elements and three loops (D, anti-codon, and T loops).
Source: Rfam by way of RNAcentral